Molecule: ribosomal RNA, 330 nt
Filed under: uncultured eukaryote
Lineage: Eukaryota
Description: partial 18S ribosomal RNA
Rfam family: Eukaryotic small subunit ribosomal RNA
Source: RNAcentral
CCCUUAGAUGUUCUGGGCCGCACGCGUGCUACACUGAUGGAGUCAUCAAGCUUUUCCUUGGCCGAAAGGUCCGGGUAAUCUUACGAAACUUCAUCGUGAUGGGGAUAGACGAUUGCAAUUUUUCGUCUUCAACGAGGAACUCCUUGUAAGCGUGAGUCAUCAUCUCGCGUUGAAUACGUCCCUGCCCUUUGUACACACCGCCCGUCGCUCCUACCGAUUGGAUGGUCCGGUGAGAACUCUGGACUGCGACUUUUUCAUGUGGUUUCGGCUGCAUGCGGUUGCGGGAAGCUGUUCGAACCUUAUCAUCUAGAGGAAGGAGAAGUCGUANCA